Molecule: long non-coding RNA, 344 nt
Filed under: Physcomitrium patens
Lineage: Eukaryota; Viridiplantae; Streptophyta; Bryopsida; Funariales; Funariaceae
Description: long non-coding RNA (PPAT_LNC002129)
Source: RNAcentral
AUUCCUUAUUUAACCAUUUUUCACAACUAAUUCAAUUAUCUGACCUAUUGAAUUGAUAAUCCUAUGAUUGAUUUAUCUACUUUACCUAUAUCUUACAAAAACAAAUUUCUACCCAUUUUACAUAGCUCCAUUCUUAAAUGUACAAUAUCCUCGUAAAUAUAGCAUUGAUAUAUAUCUAAAAAAAAACUACUUAACAAAACUCUACAAAAUUGUUAUCUCUCUGGCGUCCCAAAUUAUUCAAUUUCCACAUUAUAUAUUGUUGGUUCUACCAAUUUUGGUUCCAAAUGCAAACCCUCAUCCUCUUCUAAUCCUUCCAUUGGCUCCUUCUUCAAUUGGGUUGAAAG